Molecule: ribosomal RNA, 710 nt
Filed under: uncultured bacterium
Lineage: Bacteria
Description: bacterial SSU rRNA
Rfam family: Bacterial small subunit ribosomal RNA
Source: RNAcentral
CGGAUGCUGACGAGUGGCGAACGGGUGAGUAAUACAUCGGAACGUGCCCGAUCGUGGGGGAUAACGAAGCGAAAGCUUUGCUAAUACCGCAUACGAUCUACGGAUGAAAGCGGGGGAUCUUCGGACCUCGCGCGGACGGAGCGGCCGAUGGCAGAUUAGGUAGYUGGUGGGAUAAAAGCUUACCAAGCCGACGAUCUGUAGCUGGUCUGAGAGGAUGAUCAGCCACACUGGGACUGAGACACGGCCCAGACUCCUACGGGAGGCAGCAGUGGGGAAUUUUGGACAAUGGGCGCAAGCCUGAUCCAGCCAUGCCGCGUGCAGGAUGAAGGCCUUCGGGUUGUAAACUGCUUUUGUACGGAACGAAAAGGUGCCUUCUAAUAAAGGGCGCUCAUGACGGUACCGUAAGAAUAAGCACCGGCUAACUACGUGCCAGCAGCCGCGGUAAUACGUAGGGUGCGAGCGUUAAUCGGAAUUACUGGGCGUAAAGCGUGCGCAGGCGGUUUUGUAAGACAGAGGUGAAAUCCCCGGGCUCAACCUGGGAACUGCCUUUGUGACUGCAAGGCUGGAGUGCGGCAGAGGGGGAUGGAAUUCCGCGUGUAGCAGUGAAAUGCGUAGAUAUGCGGAGGAACACCGAUGGCGAAGGCAAUCCCCUGGGCCUGCACUGACGCUCAUGCACGGAAGCGUGGGGAGCAAACAGGAUUAGAUACCCU